CCAGGCUCCAAGGGCAGAGGUCUUUCACCUUGAUGUUAGAAGUUCCAAGUGGAACAGAGGACAACAAGUGCAGAAGGUGCUCCCUGAAAAUCUUUUGUUUAAUCUUUUUUAAAGAGCAACACUUUUUUGUUUCAUUUAACAUACACUUUUAUUGAGGACUUUCAACGUGCCAGGUACUGCUACAGGUGUUGGAGUCCACGGUGAACCAGGUGCCCACCAAGACACUGCAGCCUAGAGGGAUACCUUUGAAGAUCAAGAGAGUUAAAACUCUGACCUUGGUGAAAUAAUCUUCGGUUGCGGCAGGAAAUGUUAAACAGGUCUCCUGAAUAAGAGCUACAGAAAGUGUCCACAUUCUGCGGAAAGCUGAUGAAGAAAAAAAACCCUCCUCGCACUUCUCUCCCUAUCCUCAAAUUAACCGAAGUUUGAUUAUGGCUUUUAUGUCUGAAAAGGAAAAAGCAUCUAUUUUAUUAAGAUGUUCACUAGUCAAUAAUAAUGUGACAGAAAUCUACAGAGCACAGGCAGGGGAGAGGUUACGAGGAGGCUGCCACCACACAAUCUUGCUCUGGAAUCCUGGGCCUGCUCUGUCCCUGUAAGGGCAAACCAACAGACACAGUCCUUUCCCUAUGGAGCUUUUGUCUUAGUAGGGAAGACAGUCCACUAAUCAAUAAACAAAGAA
Molecule: non-coding RNA, 676 nt
Organism: Leptonychotes weddellii (Weddell seal)
Lineage: Eukaryota; Metazoa; Chordata; Mammalia; Carnivora; Phocidae
Source: RefSeq, a predicted model, not a curated record